Ciborinia camelliae is the source of this 110-nucleotide non-coding RNA. The record is from the annotation of a GenBank genome assembly. NCBI's taxonomy places the organism in Eukaryota, Fungi, Ascomycota, Leotiomycetes, Helotiales, Sclerotiniaceae.
GCGUUUGUGGUUUAGUGGUAAAAUCCAUCGUUGCCAACCCGCUUCCCACCCUCAAAAGUGAAAAGCGAAACAACCUCGAUGGGCCCCGGGUUCGAUUCCCGGCGAACGCA